CCUACGGGUGGCAGCAGUGGGGGAUAUUGCACAAUGGGCGCAAGCCUGAUGCAGCGACGCCGCGUGGAGGAAGAAGGUUUUCGGAUUGUAAACUCCUGUCUUCAGGGACGAUAAUGACGGUACCUGAGGAGGAAGCCACGGCUAACUACGUGCCAGCAGCCGCGGUAAUACGUAGGUGGCAAGCGUUGUCCGGAAUUACUGGGUGUAAAGCGAGCGUAGGCGGGACAACAAGUCCAGUGUGAAAUCUAUCGGCUCAACCGAUAGCUGCGCUGGAAACUGUGGUUCUUGAGUGAAGUAGAGGCAGGCGGAAUUCCUAGUGUAGCGGUGAAAUGCAUAGAUAUCACACAGAACACCGAUUGCGAAGGCAUCUCACGAAUCCGCGAUUGACGCUGAUGCACGAAAGCGUGGGUAUCAAACAGGAUUAGAUACCCGGGUAGUC
RNAcentral lists this ribosomal RNA (439 nucleotides) under uncultured bacterium. Its description in RNAcentral is "partial 16S ribosomal RNA". It matches the Rfam family "Bacterial small subunit ribosomal RNA", at positions 338 to 795 of the family's 1533-position model. The record is from RNAcentral.